This 440-nucleotide ribosomal RNA is filed under the name uncultured bacterium. RNAcentral describes it as "partial 16S ribosomal RNA". It matches the Rfam family "Bacterial small subunit ribosomal RNA", at positions 338 to 795 of the family's 1533-position model. The record is from RNAcentral.
CCUACGGGAGGCAGCAGUGGGGAAUAUUGCACAAUGGGGGGAACCCUGAUGCAGCGACGCCGCGUGGGUGAAGGAGUACUUCUGUACGUAAAGCCCUAUCAGCAGGAAAGAAAAUGACGGUACCUGACUACGACGCCCCGGCUAACUACGUGCCAGCAGCCGCGGUACUACGUAGAGGGCAAGCAUUAUCCGGAUUUACUGGGUGUAAAGGGAGCGUAGACGGCAGUGCAAGUCCGGAGUGAAAGCCCGGGGCUCAACCCUGGGACUGCUCUGGAAACUGUAAAGCUGGAGUGCGGGAGGGGCAGGCGGAAUUCCUGGUGUAGCGGUGAAAGGCGUAGAUAUCAGGAGGAACACCGGCGGCGAAGGCGGCCUGCUGGACCGUAACUGACGUUGAGGCUCGAAAGCGUGGGGAGCAAACAGGAUUAGAUACCCUGGUAGUC